AAUUCGCCCUUAGAGUUUGAUCCUGGCUCAGAACGAACGCUGGCGGCGUGCUUAACACAUGCAAGUCGAACGAGAAAGCUUUCUUCGGAGAGCGAGUAAAGUGGCGCACGGGUGAGUAACGCGUAGAUAAUCUAUCCUUGUGUCCGGGAUAACCCUUCGAAAGGGGGACUAAUACCGGAUAUAUUCUUACCUGCCGGGGUAUGAAGGAAAGGUGGCCUCUAUUUAUAAGCUAUCGCACAGGGAGGAGUCUGCGUACCAUUAGCUUGUUGGUGGGGUAACGGCCUACCAAGGCGACGAUGGUUAGCGGGUCUGAGAGGAUGAUCCGUCACACUGGCACUGAAACACGGGCCAGACUCCUACGGGAGGCAGCAGUGAGGAAUAUUGCGCAAUGGGGGGAACCCUGACGCAGCGACGCCGCGUGAGUGAGGAAGGCCUUCGGGUCGUAAAGCUCUGUCAGAAGGGAAGAAAUGCAUACAGGUUAAUACCCUGUGUGUUGACGGAC
RNAcentral lists this ribosomal RNA (502 nucleotides) under uncultured bacterium. RNAcentral describes it as "bacterial SSU rRNA". It matches the Rfam family "Bacterial small subunit ribosomal RNA", at positions 1 to 477 of the family's 1533-position model. The record is from RNAcentral.